This 352-nucleotide transfer-messenger RNA is filed under the name Spirochaetales bacterium. It matches the Rfam family "transfer-messenger RNA". Rfam says of the family: Bacterial tmRNA, also known as 10Sa RNA or SsrA, is named for its dual tRNA and mRNA-like properties. RNAcentral also lists the same sequence under 1 other name. The record is from RNAcentral. Lineage: Bacteria; Pseudomonadati; Spirochaetota; Spirochaetia; Spirochaetales.
GGGGGUGCCCCGGUUUCGACUGACGCGAUCCGGGUCGUGGGUCGCAGGUGGAGCGUCGAUGUCCUUACAUUCGGCAAAACCUUUAACUGCCAACAACGACAGUUACGCCCUCGCCGCGUAAGCGGUAGGACGCGGAAGCCGGCUGCGCCGCCUCGAGCGGCCGUAACUUCCGACGCGAUCGAGGCUGGCCGUGUCCCGCGCCGGGACGGGACGCGGCAAGAAAACUCCCGGAUACGGAGACGCCGCGUGCCGCGAAGCCAAGCGUCUCCCGACAAUCCGAUGCGCGGCUAAACCUGUAGACGCCCACGGCGCGCGCGCCAGGACGCGGGUUCAACUCCCGCCACCUCCAUUG